GGGGGUGUCUAUAGCGGCGGGGUUCCACCUGAUCCCAUCUCGAACUCAGAAGUUAAGCCCGCCAGCGGCGAAAAUAGUACCGAGGUAGCUCGGCGCUAACAUAGCACGAUGCCCCCA
RNAcentral lists this ribosomal RNA (117 nucleotides) under Bacteroidota bacterium. Lineage: Bacteria; Pseudomonadati; Bacteroidota. RNAcentral also lists the same sequence under 1 other name. The record is from RNAcentral.